UACGGGAGGCAGCAGUGGGGAAUAUUGNGCAAUGGGCGAAAGCCUGACCCAGCAACGCCGCGUGAAGGAAGAAGGUCUUCGGAUUGUAAACUUCUUUUAUGAGGGACGAAGGACNUGACGGNACCUCAUGAAUAAGCCACGGCUAACUACGUGCCAGCANCCGCGGNAAU
This 170-nucleotide ribosomal RNA is filed under the name uncultured rumen bacterium. RNAcentral's name for it is "partial 16S ribosomal RNA". It matches the Rfam family "Bacterial small subunit ribosomal RNA", at positions 340 to 524 of the family's 1533-position model. The record is from RNAcentral.